AGAAGGAGGAGAAGGGGAAAGAGAAGACAAAAAGAUACAUACUCUCCAUCUUAGGACAUGAACUGAAAAUUAUCAAGUAACGGGACUUUUCCCCACAAUCAUUUGUAAUCAGAGAUGUCAGGAGCAACCUGGAGAAAAAACAUGCAAUGAUCGUUACCAAGUGCACAGCCAAUUUUUGAACCCGACUUAGUUUCCCAGUGGAAACCAGGUAUAAGUUCCUGCUCCUCUGCACACUAUAAGAAGAACUUUGCCAUCAGUUUAUGAUCUAAUUAGUCCAUCUACAUGUUUAUUACUCAGGAGGCACUUUGCCUGAAAGAGAGAAGCCA
Molecule: long non-coding RNA, 326 nt
Organism: Pongo pygmaeus (Bornean orangutan)
Lineage: Eukaryota; Metazoa; Chordata; Mammalia; Primates; Hominidae
Exons: 3
Source: RefSeq, a predicted model, not a curated record